Molecule: transfer RNA, 91 nt
Filed under: Bacillota bacterium
Lineage: Bacteria; Bacillati; Bacillota
Description: tRNA-Ser
Rfam family: tRNA
About the family: Transfer RNA (tRNA) molecules are approximately 80 nucleotides in length.
Source: RNAcentral
GGAGAGGUGGCUGAGUGGUCUAAGGCGCUCGCCUGGAGAGCGAGUAGGCGGCAUAUCCGCCUCGCGGGUUCAAAUCCCGCCCUCUCCGCCA